RNAcentral lists this transfer RNA (64 nucleotides) under Axianassa australis. Its description in RNAcentral is "tRNA-Ala". The record is from RNAcentral. Lineage: Eukaryota; Metazoa; Arthropoda; Malacostraca; Decapoda; Axianassidae.
GGAACUAUAGUCUAUAAAGACGUAUGAUUUGCACUCAUAAAAUGUUUAACUUAAACUAGUUUCA